GGAAGGACACAAGCAUUGAGGAGCCAUUUGACCUGCCACUACACUGAUACGGUAUUUGGCAAAGGCAGGAGGCAUCUGCAAGCAACCAGUCAUUCCGAUUCUCAACCAAUCCUUCUAGUCAGCCCAUUUCUAGUGUCUUAUCUUGCAAGUUUUUUUCAGUAAAGCACAAUAAACACGCAGUUUCGUUCA
Dermacentor silvarum is the source of this 189-nucleotide long non-coding RNA. RefSeq lists it as uncharacterized. The record is from RefSeq and is a predicted model, not a curated record. NCBI's taxonomy places the organism in Eukaryota, Metazoa, Arthropoda, Arachnida, Ixodida, Ixodidae. The transcript has 2 exons.